ACACACCGCCCGUCGCUUCUACCGAUUGAAUAUUCCCAUGAAAUCUUCGGAGGAGUCCGAUGAAUUGGGCUUGCCCAAGGAAUCGGCUUCCAAAGUCGUUUAAAUCGGAACAUUUAGAGGAAGGAGAAGUCGUAACAAGGUUUCCGUAGGUGAACCUGCGGAAGGAUCAAUGACA
This 175-nucleotide ribosomal RNA is filed under the name Larcopyle buetschlii. RNAcentral describes it as "Larcopyle butschlii partial 18S ribosomal RNA". It matches the Rfam family "Eukaryotic small subunit ribosomal RNA", at positions 1664 to 1831 of the family's 1831-position model. The record is from RNAcentral. Lineage: Eukaryota; Polycystinea; Spumellaria; Litheliidae.